ACUAGAAUGAAUGGCUAAAUGAAGACUAGACUGUCUCUUGUAGACCACCUAUGAAACUGAUCUUUUAGUCAAAAAGCUAAAAUUUACCCACAAGACGAGAAGACCCUGUGGAGCUUAAAACCAGACUCAUACAAUGACCCCCUGGCUUUUAGUUGGGGCGACUUCGGAGUAUAAAAAACCCUCCGACACCGCCUAAUAGAUUAACAGAUCAAAAUGUACUUGGACCCAGUAGCUCAAAGCUAACUGAUCAAUGAACCAAGUUACCCCAGGGAUAACAGCGCCAUCCUCUUCUAGAGUUCCUAUCGACAAGGGGGCUUACGACCUCGAUGUUGGAUCAGGACCCCCUAAUAGUGCAGCCGCUAUUGAAG
This 368-nucleotide ribosomal RNA is filed under the name Acanthodactylus maculatus. RNAcentral describes it as "partial 16S ribosomal RNA". It matches the Rfam family "Archaeal large subunit ribosomal RNA", at positions 2063 to 2639 of the family's 2987-position model. Lineage: Eukaryota; Metazoa; Chordata; Lepidosauria; Squamata; Lacertidae. The record is from RNAcentral.